Molecule: ribosomal RNA, 253 nt
Filed under: uncultured bacterium
Lineage: Bacteria
Description: partial 16S ribosomal RNA
Rfam family: Bacterial small subunit ribosomal RNA
Source: RNAcentral
UACGUAGGGAGCAAGCGUUGUCCGGAAUCAUUGGGCGUAAAGCGCGCGUAGGCGGCCCGAUAAGUCCGCUGUAAAAGUCAACGGCUCAACUGUUGAAAGCCGGUGGAUACUGUCGGGCUAGAGUACGGAAGAGGCAAGUGGAAUUCCUGGUGUAGCGGUGGAAUGCGCAGAUAUCAGGAGGAACACCCAUAGCGAAGGCAGCUUUCUGGGACGUUACUGACGCUAAGGCGCGAAAGCGUGGGGAGCGAACAGG